UACGUAGGGGGCAAGCGUUGUCCGGAAUUAUUGGGCGUAAAGGGCGCGUAGGCGGGAAAUUAAGUCAGGUGUGAAAACUCCGAGCUCAACUUGGAGAUUGCACUUGAAACUGGUAUUCUUGAGGGCAGGAGAGGAAAGUGGAAUUCCUAGUGUAGCGGUGAAAUGCGUAGAUAUUAGGAGGAACACCAGUGGCGAAGGCGACUUUCUGGCCAGUUACUGACGCUCAUGCGCGAGAGCUGGGUUAGCGAACCGGAUUAGAUACCCCCGUAGUCCCUGA
This 277-nucleotide ribosomal RNA is filed under the name uncultured prokaryote. Its description in RNAcentral is "partial 16S ribosomal RNA". It matches the Rfam family "Bacterial small subunit ribosomal RNA", at positions 524 to 800 of the family's 1533-position model. The record is from RNAcentral.